GACGAACGCUGGCGGCGUGCUUAACACAUGCAAGUCGAACGGAAAGGCCCUGCUUUUGUGGGGUGCUCGAGUGGCGAACGGGUGAGUAACACGUGAGUAACCUGCCCUUGACUAUGGGAUAACUUCAGGAAACUGGGGCUAAUACCGGAUAGGAGCUCCUGCUGCAUGGUGGGGGUUGGAAAGUUUCGGCGGUUGGGGAUGGACUCGCGGCUUAUCAGCUUGUUGGUGGGGUAGUGGCUUACCAAGGCUUUGACGGGUAGCCGGCCUGGGAGGGUGACCGGCCACAUUGGGACUGAGAUACGGCCCAGACUCCUACGGGAGGCAGCAGUGGGGAAUAUUGCACAAUGGGCGGAAGCCUGAUGCAGCAACGCCGCGUGCGGGAUGACGGCCUUCGGGUUGUAAACCGCUUUCGCCUGUGACGAAGCGUGAGUGACGGUAAUGGGUAAAGAAGCACCGGCUAACUACGUG
This 468-nucleotide ribosomal RNA is filed under the name uncultured bacterium. RNAcentral's name for it is "partial 16S ribosomal RNA". It matches the Rfam family "Bacterial small subunit ribosomal RNA", at positions 28 to 507 of the family's 1533-position model. The record is from RNAcentral.